RNAcentral lists this ribosomal RNA (253 nucleotides) under uncultured bacterium. RNAcentral's name for it is "partial 16S ribosomal RNA". It matches the Rfam family "Bacterial small subunit ribosomal RNA", at positions 524 to 776 of the family's 1533-position model. The record is from RNAcentral.
UACGAAGGGGGCUAGCGUUGUUCGGAAUUACUGGGCGUAAAGCGCGCGUAGGCGGUGAUCUUUGUCAGAGGUGAAAUCCCGAGGCUCAACUUCGGAAUUGCCUUUGAAACGGGAUCGCUUGAGUCCGAGAGAGGAUGGCGGAAUUCCUAGUGUAGAGGUGAAAUUCGUAGAUAUUAGGAAGAACACCGGUGGCGAAGGCGGCCAUCUGGCUCGGUACUGACGCUGAGGAGCGAAAGCGUGGGGAGCGAAAAGG